UCGAAACUCUGUCUGGUACAGUAUCACAGGCACUUUCUGGAUCUCACCCUUCUUUCAAAGUCGACUUGAAACUUGAAAGUUCAUCUAUGGCUCGGGUGAAAGACAUUCGGAAGAUGGAUGAGUGGGUUCUUGUCUUCAGUUUCAGAAAAUGAUGAGGCAAAACUUUUAAUAGAAAUUGGCAUCUUAUUUAAUGAGGCAAAACUUGGUUAAGUAUCAUUUGGUUGCCAUUUUGCUACUGCUAUUACAGACUUUAGAUUUUGAGGGGGAGAUGCUUAGUUGGAAUGGCAAGCUCUAAUAGGUAUUGGACUCGUUCUGCUAUUAAAGGAUCAAGCUACAAGCGCAAGAGAGGCUUGAGCGAAGUGGUGAAUUCAGAUGUUAGGCUUAGUAAUUUGCCAGACUGGAUACCUUGUCACAUUCUGUCUUUUCUUCCAACAAAAGAAGUUAUGGCUACGAGCCUUUUAUCAAGACGAUGGGAAUUUCUCUGGACUGAAAUCUGUAGUUUUCAUUUUGAAGAUUUCAAUGAAUGUUAGAGCCGUAGUGACAUUUAAAAAAAAAAAAAAAAGAGCUUUGUGAAAUUUGUAGACAGGGUUUUGCUUCUCAGAAAUGUCAAAACAACAAUAAGUUCCGUCUGAAGUGGAAAUAUUUCUGCGAAAGCAUCAAAGCGAGAAGAUGGGUCAACAUUGCAGUUGCUAGUAAUGUCCAAGUGCUUAAUGUCCUUCUUCAUUGUGCUUGUGAUAGCUGUUCUGGUUUAGGCUAUAAAUUGUGCCUAGGAGCCUCUUUACUUGUGAUACACAAGAAUUUCUAUAAUUGUCUGGUGAUAUUGUCAUUGAUGUUCCAAACAUCGUUUAUCUUCCUAGGCUUGUGAAUCUGAAUCUUGCUAGAGUUGCAUUCAAAUCCAAUGACUCUGUCCAGAAUCUUAUACCUGGUUGUGCAGUUCUAAAGUUCUUGUCUAUCGCAAGAAAUACCUGGCAUGAUGCGGCUAUAAUCACAAUAUCAUCUCCUGUUUUGAAAAGACUAGAACUUAAACCUUAUGAAGAAAGUUUAGGUUUUUUUUAUCCUUAUGAUUUUGGCUAUAAAGACUCUAAGCUCAAGAUCAUUGCCUCUGUACUUGAGCACCUGUAUCUGCAAGAUUGCAAGAUUGUGCCAGUCAAGACUUUGUUUUAGGAAGCCUUACCUCCUUAGAAGAAGUAUAUGUUGAUGUUUCCUGCCACAGCCCCCCUGAAAUCAGAUAUUGGAAUUCAGUUGUUAAGCUACUUGAAACACUUCAUCAUGUGAAGUUUCUGAGGUUUUCAUAUGAUACCAGUAACGUAAAGCUGUUUGUUUUAGUUCCCAUUAAAUUGUAAAUCUUAUGAUUCGGUAUGGUACACAAAGAACUUAAGCUAAGGAAAUUGAACAAGUAUUUGGUCUUCGAUGCUUCAAUUAAUAGGAAAUCUGAGCUCAAUUGUUCUAAUGGGGACAAGCUGAAUGAUUUUUCUGUAGGCUCUUAAUGGAGCAACUAACCAUUUGUCGACAACGUUCAAGAGAUUAACCACACUGGUUGUAGAAGUUUAUUGCUCCAAGUGGAAAUUCCUGCCAAUGUUGCUUGAAAACUCUGUCAAUUUACAAGUUCUCCAACUUUACAAGCCAUGGUAUCUAUGUUGUCAAGAAACACAUAAUGGAUGCUGGAGGAUUCCUAGUUGCUUGCUAUCAAGUCUCAGAGAAAUGUUCGUCAGAGGAUUUACUGGCCUGGAAGAUGAGCUUGCAAUGAUAAGGUAUGUUCUGAAGUAUGGGAGAGUCCUCAAAAAAAUGGAGCUAGAUUCUGGUCUGUAUGCUGAUGACUUCAAGAAAAAGUUCCAGUUGCUUCAGAAGAUAUUAAUGUUCCCCAGAAAGUCAUUUACAUGUGUGAUUGCAUUUUGUUGAGGUGCAUAGAUGAGCUGAUUAUGACCUUUUUACUAAGAGGUGAUGUAACUAAAGUAGAAUUGAGUUUUUAAUUUCUACGUGUUAAGUUUUUUGAAGUUGUGUGUACAAAUACGUUUUAUGGUGCUGCUUACAGUUUUUAAGGGAUAGGAACCAUAUGACCCAAGUAGCUUGCUCUCUGAUUAUUUUGCGUAUGUGGAAUUAAUUGGUCCUUUUGUUUGAGCUUGAUUACAACCUCUUA
Molecule: non-coding RNA, 2137 nt
Organism: Coffea arabica (coffee)
Lineage: Eukaryota; Viridiplantae; Streptophyta; Magnoliopsida; Gentianales; Rubiaceae
Source: RefSeq, a predicted model, not a curated record